CGGCGAGAGCCUCCUGCUGAUGAGCGCAUUGUUCGUGAAGUUCUUGUAGCCUGGUCAUCUCCGAGACAGCGGCACGAUAAAAGAAUAUCAGCAAAAGAGCUACUACUCCAGCGCUCCCAUACAGAGCCAGGCGACCGCCUCGGCCUCUUCCAAGCCGCGAACCGCUCAUCCCUAUUGACAAGGGCACCUGUGGGCAAAAUUGGACAAUAGUAUUUUUGGAUGUCAAAACAGAAGUCGUCAAAAUGCAUCAGAAAUAAGAUUCACAAGGAAAGGAAAAACGGGGAGGUGAUGCAGAAGGGUAGUUGGCUACUUAGCAGCUGGAUUGGAGUUCACUGACAUUUUGAAGCACGCGCGAUGCGAGCCUUGUUUCGUUUGCGGCGACGACGACGGAGACGAUAAACGGCGACGCACGUGUACCGUUCGCGCGGAAACGUGACGGCCGCUUGCUCGCAAGCGGAUUCUGCCUGGCUCUUUGCAUGCCUCUGGCAUCCCGCCACACGUCGGAUAUUCACGGAAUAGUGAAUCCUUGAUUACGUACAGUAUAAAGUAAUCUGGUGGAAGAUACAAAUACCUUCUCCAGAGUUAAUUCCUACAUUGAAAAAAAAGUUUGGAUAAAUCUGAGAUGCACUUAGUAAUGCAUUUUUU
Molecule: long non-coding RNA, 645 nt
Organism: Camponotus floridanus (Florida carpenter ant)
Lineage: Eukaryota; Metazoa; Arthropoda; Insecta; Hymenoptera; Formicidae
Exons: 3
Source: RefSeq, a predicted model, not a curated record